RNAcentral lists this ribosomal RNA (557 nucleotides) under Kluyveromyces lactis. RNAcentral's name for it is "partial large subunit ribosomal RNA". It matches the Rfam family "Eukaryotic large subunit ribosomal RNA", at positions 55 to 653 of the family's 3401-position model. The record is from RNAcentral. Lineage: Eukaryota; Fungi; Ascomycota; Saccharomycetes; Saccharomycetales; Saccharomycetaceae.
GGAAAAGAAACCAACCGGGAUUGCCUUAGUAACGGCGAGUGAAGCGGCAAAAGCUCAAAUUUGAAAUCUGGCGUCUUCGACGUCCGAGUUGUAAUUUGAAGAAGGCAACUUUGUAGCUGGUCCUUGUCUAUGUUCCUUGGAACAGGACGUCAUAGAGGGUGAGAAUCCCGUGUGGCGAGGAUCCCAGUUAUUUGUAAAGUGCUUUCGACGAGUCGAGUUGUUUGGGAAUGCAGCUCUAAGUGGGUGGUAAAUUCCAUCUAAAGCUAAAUAUUGGCGAGAGACCGAUAGCGAACAAGUACAGUGAUGGAAAGAUGAAAAGAACUUUGAAAAGAGAGUGAAAAAGUACGUGAAAUUGUUGAAAGGGAAGGGCAUUUGAUCAGACAUGGCGUUUGCUUCGGCUUUCGCUGGGCCAGCAUCAGUUUUAGCGGUUGGAUAAAUCCUCGGGAAUGUGGCUCUGCUUCGGUAGAGUGUUAUAGCCCGUGGGAAUACAGCCAGCUGGGACUGAGGAUUGCGACUUUUGUCAAGGAUGCUGGCGUAAUGGUUAAAUGCCGCCCGUC